Molecule: ribosomal RNA, 460 nt
Filed under: uncultured bacterium
Lineage: Bacteria
Description: partial 16S ribosomal RNA
Rfam family: Bacterial small subunit ribosomal RNA
Source: RNAcentral
CCUACGGGAGGCAGCAGUGAGGAAUAUUGGUCAAUGGACGAGAGUCUGAACCAGCCAAGUAGCGUGAAGGAUGACUGCCCUAUGGGUUGUAAACUUCUUUUAUAUGGGAAUAAAAUGUUCCACGUGUGGGAUUUUGUAUGUACCAUAUGAAUAAGGAUCGGCUAACUCCGUGCCAGCAGCCGCGGUAAUACGGAGGAUCCGAGCGUUAUCCGGAUUUAUUGGGUUUAAAGGGAGCGUAGGUGGAUUGUUAAGUCAGUUGUGAAAGUUUGCGGCUCAACCGUAAAAUUGCAGUUGAAACUGGCAGUCUUGAGUACAGUAGAGGUGGGCGGAAUUCGUGGUGUAGCGGUGAAAUGCUUAGAGAUCACGAAGAACUCCGAUUGCGAAGGCAGUUCACUGGACUGCAACUGACACUGAGGCUCGAAAGUGUGGGUAUCAAACAGGAUUAGAGACCCCAGUAGUC